CAAAUUCUUGUAUCGCGCCAAAUCGCAUUACUUUAGCAAAACUACCUGCGCUCCAAAUCCCUGCUCCUGACGCGCCUAAUCUUUCCUCAAAUACCUCCUCCUGGUGCCAAUCGUCUCCCAACUCACGAGCCCCUUCGCCUCCCCUUAGCAUACAGCCAGGGAGGAGAGGCGGAGCGCCCAAGGUGGAGACGUGGAGUUGGCUGUGGGAGCAGGGCGGCCUAGAGCAGAAAUCCAGGAGGCGAGGGAGAGAUGAACCCCACCAGGCGACCCCGGCGACGGGAGCGGAGCCGAGCUGCCGAGGUCGAGCAGACCCUGCCGGAGGCCUGUGGAGGCACGGAUGAAGCCACGGAGGGGGCUCGGGCCGUACCAGAGAAGAGGUCUCAGGCAACGGCGGCCUCGAGAUCCAACAGCCGUGCUGGCAGAGACAUGGCCUGCGCCGUGAUGCAGAGGACAAACAGUGCGGUGACCAGCCACAUGCCCCCGCACCAAGAGGGCCAUGGAGAACAAGCACAAUUUGAUUUCAGAGCCAACAAGACCUGUCCCUCUCACUAGUCACCACCUAGCUAAAUGGUUUCAAGUUCUACACGCCUGUUUGCACUUUAAAGUGUUUUUUUAGAUGAAUAGUGCUCACAAGUGACAACCAAUAUCUGAUUUUUUUUGGAACUCGCAUCUAUUUAUAUUAUAGCAACUCAAUGCUAAUUAAAACUUCACUUUUCAUUUUCAGGUUUCAAGUUCUACGCGCCUUACAUUUUGGUGUUCCAAUAUGUUAAAUACAAAUACAUUUCUCAAAUAUGCAUGCUGUGUUUCAACGUUUUGAGCUUCCUGUUGGAGCUGAACUCGAUUAGAACAGCUUGAGUUUCUCCAUUCAUAGAAUACUGGUUUCCUUUACAAAUACAUUUAUCCAUUUAGUUUUACAUUUUCUUUUUUUAUAUAUUAUGCAGAUGUCACUUGUGAGUGUGACAAAAAAAAUCAUCCCUUCUGAUCAGCCUAUACAACAUUUUUUUCUAUGUAGUAUUAUAAGUGAUUAAUUUUAAACAAAUUGGAGAGUGAAAUAACAUGUACUAUGGUAGUUAUUUCACUUUCUGCCAUUUUUUC
This is a long non-coding RNA of Oryza sativa Japonica Group (Japanese rice), 1095 nucleotides long. RefSeq lists it as uncharacterized. Lineage: Eukaryota; Viridiplantae; Streptophyta; Magnoliopsida; Poales; Poaceae. The record is from RefSeq and is a predicted model, not a curated record.